GGGGCUGAUUCUGGAUUCGACGGGAUUUGCGAAACCCAAGGUGCAUGCCGAGGGGCGGUUGGCCUCGUAAAAAGCCGCAAAAAAUAGUCGCAAACGACGAAAACUACGCUUUAGCAGCUUAAUAACCUGCUUAGAGCCCUCUCUCCCUAGCCUCCGCUCUUAGGACGGGGAUCAAGAGAGGUCAAACCCAAAAGAGAUCGCGUGGAAGCCCUGCCUGGGGUUGAAGCGUUAAAACUUAAUCAGGCUAGUUUGUUAGUGGCGUGUCCGUCCGCAGCUGGCAAGCGAAUGUAAAGACUGACUAAGCAUGUAGUACCGAGGAUAUAGGAAUUUCGGACGCGGGUUCAACUCCCGCCAGCUCCACCA
Molecule: transfer-messenger RNA, 363 nt
Filed under: Escherichia coli
Lineage: Bacteria; Pseudomonadati; Pseudomonadota; Gammaproteobacteria; Enterobacterales; Enterobacteriaceae
Description: Standard tmRNA
Rfam family: transfer-messenger RNA
About the family: Bacterial tmRNA, also known as 10Sa RNA or SsrA, is named for its dual tRNA and mRNA-like properties. Its role is to liberate the mRNA from a stalled ribosome.
Source: RNAcentral